RNAcentral lists this ribosomal RNA (806 nucleotides) under uncultured Geothrix sp. RNAcentral's name for it is "bacterial SSU rRNA". It matches the Rfam family "Bacterial small subunit ribosomal RNA", at positions 28 to 828 of the family's 1533-position model. The record is from RNAcentral. Lineage: Bacteria; Pseudomonadati; Acidobacteriota; Holophagae; Holophagales; Holophagaceae.
AAUGAACGCUGGCGGCGUGCCUAACACAUGCAAGUCGGAUGUGCCGCAAGGUGCAUGGCAGACGGGUGAGUAACGCGUAGGGAAUCUACCUCUUUGUGGGGAAUAACGCUCCGAAAGGAGUGGUAAUACCGCAUGAGACCGCGAGCUGGGAUGCUUGUGGUGAAACCUGGGGACCGCAAGGCCUGGGGCAAGGAGAGGAUCCUGCGUCUGAUUAGCUAGUUGGCGGGGUAAUGGCCCACCAAGGCGACGAUCAGUAGCCGGCCUGAGAGGGUGAUCGGCCACACUGGAACUGAGACACGGUCCAGACUCCUACGGGAGGCAGCAGUGGGGAAUUUUGCGCAAUGGACGAAAGUCUGACGCAGCAACGCCGCGUGGGUGAUGAAGGUCUUCGGACUGUAAAACCCUGUCGUCAGGGACGAAGGUUUGGGGGUUAAUAACCCUUAAGCUUGACGGUACCUGGAGAGGAAGCCCCGGCUAACUCUGUGCCAGCAGCCGCGGUAAUACAGAGGGGGCAAGCGUUAUUCGGAAUUACUGGGCGUAAAGGGCGCGUAGGCGGUUCUUUAAGUCGGAUGUGCAAUCCCCGAGCUCAACUUGGGAACUGCAUCCGAAACUGGGGAGCUAGAGUACUGGAGAGGGUGGUAGAAUUCCACGUGUAGCGGUGAAAUGCGUAGAGAUGUGGAGGAAUACCAGUGGCGAAGGCGGCCACCUGGACAGUAACUGACGCUGAGGCGCGAAAGUGUGGGUAGCAAACAGGAUUAGAUACCCUGGUAGUCCACACUGUAAACGAUGAACACUUGGUGUGGCGG